Molecule: long non-coding RNA, 2071 nt
Filed under: Salmo salar (Atlantic salmon)
Lineage: Eukaryota; Metazoa; Chordata; Actinopteri; Salmoniformes; Salmonidae
Description: lncRNA (ENSSSAG00000109407.1, ENSSSAG00000116395.1)
Source: RNAcentral
GUGACUGUACUAUUUAGUGUCAUUGUUUUAUAGAUACCAUAGUGAGAAAGGAUUCAUUUCGCAACACCUACGGCUUCCACUAGAUGGCAACGAUCUUUAUAAAGUUGUUUGAAGCGUCUAUGAUAAACAGAGAGCAAAUUAGAAUCCAAGGAAGUUGACAUGUCAUCACUUCAUUUUUUGCGCCUGCGCAUAAAUCUGAGAAACGUGAGUUUUGUCUUCAUUGUUUAUCUCGACAUAGGAUAGGUUGUGUGAAAAUAUUACUGAUGUUUAACGUUAAAAAUGGACCAAAAGAUUAAUGCUAAACAACAUUUGACAUGUUUGAACGAACAUAAAUAGAUUAUUUACUAGGUUUUUUUUAGCUUUUCGGCGUGAUUUUACAGUCCCCCACCACGUUUUGUGGGAGCAUAAUGAACGCUAAGUACUUGGUGUUAUUUGGACAUAAAUUAUGAACUUUGUCAAAAGAAACCACAUUUGUUCCGGACCUGUGAUGCCUUCCGGACCUGGGAUGCCAGUCUUUUGAUGGAGAUAAUCAAAGUGAUGAUUAUAGCUAAUUUCCUGUAAAAUACCUGGGCCUACAUUGUAACGAUCAUCUGAAAGAGGGGACCAAGAUGCAGCGUGGACAUCUGAAAAACAUCUGAUCUACAACCUGUUGGGCACUGAAACGUGCACUCAUGGCUUCAGCAAAGAGAGAACUGGGGGGACUGUCAUCUGCAGCACCUUUAUAGCCUCUGACUGCCUUCCCCAUUAGUAAACAAUUCUUUCAAGAAAUGUUUAUUUUGUCUGAAAUUGUUUUUAUUUAGUCUGUGAACUUGAGUUGUGUGGGGUCAUGGAGGGGAGAUGCUGCACGUGCACAAGAAAGUUCAAUCAGUAGCACACAUCUCAAUUUCUCAUUGUGUGUGUGUGUGUGUGUGUGUGUGUGUGGUGAGUACACUAUUUUGUAACUGCCGUGUCAAAAAUGACCCUAAGACAAUCUUUGUACCCUGGUUUUGUACAGCUUUCAUGGAAAUAUGAACAUGGGCGAUGUUUCACUUUUUCUAAUGUUGGGGUCACUCUAGGAAAAGUCAUCAAAUUUAUUUUGGAAAAAAUAUAAUUUAGGGGGUUUUCUCUGCUGUUAAACAUAGUGGCGGAUCAUUUUUGACCCUUAAGACAACACAAGGGUUAAGAUAAUUGUAUGUGUGGGUACAGAGAUGAGGUAGUCAUAAAAAAUCAUGUUAAACACUAUUAUUGUGGCCUCCAGAAGGGUGCAGCAGUCUAAGGCACUGCAUCGCAGUGCUAGCUGCGUCACUACAGAUCCCGGUUCGAUCUCAGGCUGUGUUGCAGCCGGCCUCGACCGGGAGACCCAUGAGGCGGCACACAAUUGGCCCAGCAUCACCUGGGUUAGGGGAGGGUUGGACGGCUGGGUUGUCCUUGUCCCAUCGCGCUCUAGCAACUCCUGUGGCGGGCUGGGCGCAGUGCAUGCUGACACGGUUGCCAGGUUUACGGUGUUUCCCCCGACACAUUGAUCGGCUGGCUUUUAAGUUAAGCGAGCAUUGUGUUAAGAAGCAGUGCAGCUUGGCGGGGUCGUGAUUCGCAGAACGCACGGCUCUCGACCUUCACCUCUCCCGAGUCCACAGGGAGUUACAGCGAUGGGACAAGACUGUAACUACCAAUUGGAUAUCAUGAAAUUGGGGAGAAAAAAAAUCUAAAUAAUUAUUAGAAAUGAAACACUAUGAUUGCACACAGUGUGAGUCCAUGCAACUUAUUAAGUACAUUUUUACUCCUGAAAUUAUUUAGGUUUGCCAUAACAAAGGGGUUGAAUACUUAGUGACUCAAGACAUUUCAGCUUUUAAUUUUGAAUUAAUAAAAAUUUCGAAAAGCAUAAUUCCACUUUGACGUUAUGGUGUAUUGUGUGUGAAUCUGAAUGAAUUUGAAUCUGUUUAAAAUUCAGGCUGUAACAACAAAAUGUGGAAAAGGUCAAGAGUUGUGAAUGCUCUCUAAAGGAAUUGUAUCGGUUGUCAUAUUGAGUUCAGUAGAAUGUCUGGAUGGAUUUCUUAAUGAUGACACGUGUAUUUAUUGUAUUUACAUAAAUGAG